AGGUUGCGUUGCACCAUUUAACUUUAACUAUUACAAACGUCACAUCGUCUGUCAAAGCAUCGGUUAAGCGAAAAAUUGGUUGCACCAUUCAACUUUGGUUAAAAUAACGUCAUAACUUUAACGAUAACCAUAACCACCCCAUGUUGGCCGGUUACUGCUUUUGUUAAAGUCAGGUAGCUGUCAAACGCGUUGUAUAACCUUAAAAUAACAGUAUUACGUACAAAUAUUAAUAUUAAAUAAUUCUUAUCAUGUCGCUUCUACGUGAAAUAGCGCUUGAAACAAGUUCCUCAGAAAUUGAGAUUGAGGUGGAGUAAGUACGGAACUUACGAAAUAUGAAGAGAAAGGUGUACUUUCAGAGAACUGAUAGAUUCGCAGGUUCCAGGUCUCAAAAAUGUGGCUCGUGUGUUGGCUUUAAAACUAGAACCUUCCUUACUGCCUCCGACGACGAAAAAUUUUGCAAUCACUCAAAUACAGAAAUAUAUCAAUGAAAAUAAGGACAGAACUAAGAAGAGUGCAGCCCAUUAUUGUGGCUACGGCAUAGCUGCAUAAUAUAUUAUGUAAACAAAAUAGAGACCCUGUGCUGUACCACCAGCUAGGUUUUUUAUGAUGAUUCAUCAUCUGAUGAAGAGGAACCUGUCUAUGCAGUUAACAGGCAUGAUGAGCAUAAUCGAAGGAUGUCAAUAAAUAAUUAUUUUAAUAGAUUA
Non-coding RNA from Plutella xylostella (diamondback moth), 704 nucleotides. The record is from RefSeq and is a predicted model, not a curated record. NCBI's taxonomy places the organism in Eukaryota, Metazoa, Arthropoda, Insecta, Lepidoptera, Plutellidae.